AUUGAACGCUGGCGGCAGGCCUAACACAUGCAAGUCGAACGAGUGGCGGACGGGUGAGUAAUGUCUGGGAAACUGCCCGAUGGAGGGGGAUAACUACUGGAAACGGUAGCUAAUACCGCAUACCAUCGGAUGUGCCCAGAUGGGAUUAGAUUGUAGGUGAGGUAACGGCGAACCUAGGCGACGAUCCCUAGCUGGUCUGAGAGGAUAACCAGCCAAAGUGGAACUGAGACACGGGCGAGACUCGUACGGGAGGCAGCAGUGGGGAAUAGUGCACAAUGGGCGCAAGCCUGAUGCAGCAAUGCCGCGUGUAUGAAGAAGGCCUUCGGGUUGUAAAGUACGUUCAGCGGGGAGGCGGUACCCGCAGAAGAAGCACCUGCUAACUCCGUGCCAGCAGCCGCGGUAAUUC
This 406-nucleotide ribosomal RNA is filed under the name uncultured bacterium. RNAcentral's name for it is "partial 16S ribosomal RNA". It matches the Rfam family "Bacterial small subunit ribosomal RNA", at positions 29 to 526 of the family's 1533-position model. The record is from RNAcentral.